UACGUAGGGUGCAAGCGUUGUCCGGAAUUAUUGGGCGUAAAGGGCCCGUAGGCGGUCCAUCGCGUCGGGAGUGAAAAGCUGGGGCUUAACCCCAGUCCUGCUUCCGAUACGGGUGGACUAGAGGUAGGUAGGGGAGAUCGGAAUUCCUGGUGUAGCGGUGAAAUGCGCAGAUAUCAGGAGGAACACCGGUGGCGAAGGCGGAUCUCUGGGCCUUACCUGACGCUGAGGAGCGAAAGCAUGGGGAGCAAACAGG
Molecule: ribosomal RNA, 253 nt
Filed under: uncultured bacterium
Lineage: Bacteria
Description: partial 16S ribosomal RNA
Rfam family: Bacterial small subunit ribosomal RNA
Source: RNAcentral